This 742-nucleotide long non-coding RNA is filed under the name Androctonus crassicauda. The record is from RNAcentral. Lineage: Eukaryota; Metazoa; Arthropoda; Arachnida; Scorpiones; Buthidae.
UGAAUCUAAAUCGAGUUGCAAGUCAGAUUUGAAUAUGGGUGCAUGAGCAAGUGGCACAGGGAUCCUGGAAUGAACAAUUGACUUAAAUAUGAGAAAUUUAUUUACAGCAAUAAGAAAAGAAUUUACAUUAAUAUAAGAGUUUACAUUAAGGUUAUAAAAAUUACUUAAAUCUACCUAAACUAACUUAACUUAAUCCUGUUAAAGAUUCAAGAGUUCAAUAUUCGAGGUUUGAGAGUGUGUGAGAUGAUCCCUUCACAUACCUGAUGAUAGAGUGUACAGAAUUAAAUUAUUAAUCCUAGUAACAAUCCAAAUAUACAUUAAAUGUUUAAUGUUUGCAAAAUUCAUUACGCGCACAGUCCAGUUCCAUGUGCCAUUAUCAUUGUCGAUCUCUUCAUUGCCGUUGUCAUUCAUCUCCGUUGGCUAUUGUUAUCUCCUUUGGUUGUCUCUGCCUCAACAAGACAAGCAUGUUUUCCCAUCAUUAAGACUUACAUUUUUUAUUGUUAUUCGUUCACCUUCAAAAGUAGACUCAACAUCUGUCUUCUCUACUGACCCCCUCGUCCUCUCCUCCUCCUUUUGAAUAUGAUUCCCUCUGACGUUCCAAUGUUUUGUUCUCAUGGCUCUGCUCUCGCAUUGUUUUCCUUCAAAGACAGUUCCCACAACAUUUUAUUUAUGUUUAUUUUAAAUAUGGGUGUUAACAGUAAUAAUGAUAUAUCAAUAAUAAUCGAAGAAAGCUAAUUUUGAC